Molecule: ribosomal RNA, 515 nt
Filed under: uncultured Bacteroidota bacterium
Lineage: Bacteria; Pseudomonadati; Bacteroidota
Description: bacterial SSU rRNA
Rfam family: Bacterial small subunit ribosomal RNA
Source: RNAcentral
GCGGCCGCAGAGUUUGAUCAUGGCUCAGGAUGAACGCUAGCGGCAGGCUUAAUACAUGCAAGUCGAGGGGCAGCAGGUCCGUAGCAAUACGGAUGCUGGCGACCGGCAAACGGGUGCGGAACACGUACAGAACCUUCCUUCGAGCGGGGAAUAGCCCGGAGAAAUCCGGAUUAAUACCCCAUAGUAUGGUGAAGAGGCAUCUCUUUACUAUUAAAGAUUUAUCACUUGAAGAUGGCUGUGCGGCUGAUUAGGUAGUUGGCGGGGUAACGGCCCACCAAGCUUGCGAUCAGUAACUGGUGUGAGAGCACGACCAGUCACACGGGCACUGAGACACGGGCCCGACUCCUACGGGAGGCAGCAGUAAGGAAUAUUGGUCAAUGGACGAAAGUCUGAACCAGCCAUGCCGCGUGGAGGAUGAAGGUCCUCUGGAUUGUAAACUUCUUUUAUAUGGGACGAAAAAAGACCUUUCCAGGUCGUCUGACGGUACCCAUACGAAUAAGCACCGGCUAACUCCG